This 253-nucleotide ribosomal RNA is filed under the name uncultured bacterium. RNAcentral's name for it is "partial 16S ribosomal RNA". It matches the Rfam family "Bacterial small subunit ribosomal RNA", at positions 524 to 776 of the family's 1533-position model. The record is from RNAcentral.
UACGUAGGGUGCGAGCGUUAAUCGGAAUUACUGGGCGUAAAGCGUGCGCAGGCGGUUUUGUAAGUCUGUCGUGAAAGCCCCGGGCUCAACCUGGGAAUUGCGAUGGAGACUGCAAGGCUUGAAUCUGGCAGAGGGGGGUAGAAUUCCACGUGUAGCAGUGAAAUGCGUAGAGAUGUGGAGGGACACCGAUGGCGAAGGCAGCCCCCUGGGUCAAGAUUGACGCUCAUGCACGAAAGCGUGGGGAGCAAACAGG